Megalopta genalis is the source of this 379-nucleotide non-coding RNA. The record is from RefSeq and is a predicted model, not a curated record. NCBI's taxonomy places the organism in Eukaryota, Metazoa, Arthropoda, Insecta, Hymenoptera, Halictidae.
GAUCCACGCUUGCGCUCAUUAUAAAACAGUGUUUGGUUGUUUGAUGUGCUCGCUCAGAUGCUCAGGAUCACUCACAAUCACUGACAAUCACUGAUAAUCGCUGACAAUCAUUAAUGGCGUCGUCAUAGGCCAUAAGUAUAAUUUACGAGGGUGCUACCGUAUUAUAUUUUACGACAAAUGGCGAUAAGAGGGAAAUUCAAAUGAAACUCGACAGAAAAUUUGACGGCCAAAAAGACAUAAAACUUUAUGUGAAAGAAAAUUUGAUGUCGUUUCUCAAUUAAAUUCGAAUUAACCGAUUUGUUAAAUAAAUAUUUACAUUGAUAAUUUAUGAACGUUAAUAUACCUCUAAAUAAACAAUGCAUGAACUUUUAUUUUAUUA